AUUGAGAAAGGACUUGUUCUCGUCUCCUUGCAACAUCGUCUGCCGUUUGCAACGGAACAAAAGUAGUCGAAGCUAUUUCUUCAGUCAUGCUUGCUUUAUUAGAACUCUCUUUCAACAGAUAUUAGUUGUGCUGCGUAGUAUUGGCUAUAAAAGAAUCAGAAAUAGAAGAAAAUGUUAGACUUGAAAAACAAAACAUCAAAGAAACAUCUACACACAAAGUGGUAAAUACAAUAAACAUGGCCGACUACGAAUGCACUCCGGACCCCACCCCGCCGCUAAUCGAUGUAGAUCUUUUCCAAGCAAUCGAAGUCACGUGACCACUUGGAAAAAAGGAGAAAGCCAAGUUGAACCAAAGUAUGUAAUGUUACGGGGAUCGGGCAUGGUCCCAAAGAUAGACGAUAAGUUGGGCUCACGCAAUUUGAUUUGUGUUCUUUGUAAAGUUAGAUCUCGAACUAGGAAGUAAGCAAAUGCGCAUUUAACUGUUAUUCCAAACUUCGAAAUAGCUAAGUGUGUCUACGUGUGCAAUGCGUACUAUUUUUAUUAAACCUUUUUAGCCCUCACAGACCACUUAGGUGCUUACUGAUCGUGUCUUUUCCAAGGACACAUACGCCCACGAUUGUAUCAGCGCCGAGCCUCGAACUCACAACUUCUGGGCUAGGGAGGGGCGCGCUAAUCUUAUGUUCACAAUAAAAACGCCUAAAAUGCGUUUAAUAAAAGUAUUCAACAAAUACUACAACACGGUAAUAAAAUAUGUUUGUGGUUUGUACUUUUGUAUUUUUCAUUUUAAUGAUUAAAUAAAACGAACUGUUGACACGAAAGUAUAUACACAGUAUAUACGUAGACGAAAACUGUAUUCAGAACAAUAUGGCGGACAAUCAUAAACAAUACUUCAAUAGGAAGAAGGGAAAUUGGGACGUGA
Non-coding RNA from Ciona intestinalis (vase tunicate), 919 nucleotides. The record is from RefSeq and is a predicted model, not a curated record. Lineage: Eukaryota; Metazoa; Chordata; Ascidiacea; Phlebobranchia; Cionidae.